UCGGAAUCAUAGCAAAGCAUGCGAAAACAUGUGGCGCAAAACUAGAAGGGCCUAACCUUGUAUUAUCUAUUAGAAUUAAUUUUUAUUAAUUAGUUCAAGAAUAGCUGAUAGUCUGCUUAUAAAUGCACAUUUAUUUAUAAGCUAAGUAUGGCAGCCAGUUACCGAG
Molecule: non-coding RNA, 166 nt
Filed under: Clostridiales bacterium
Lineage: Bacteria; Bacillati; Bacillota; Clostridia; Eubacteriales
Description: c-di-GMP sequence
Rfam family: c-di-GMP-I riboswitch aptamer
About the family: GEMM was predicted in a large-scale screen for bacterial structured RNA regulatory elements. Genes associated with GEMM are involved in a diverse array of functions, including chemotaxis regulation, signal transduction, secretion and chitin.
Source: RNAcentral